UCGAGCGGUAGCACANANAGCUUGCUCUCGGGUGACGAGCGGCGGACGGGUGAGUAAUGUCUGGGAAACUGCCUGAUGGAGGGGGAUAACUACUGGAAACGGUAGCUAAUACCGCAUAACGUCGCAAGACCAAAGUGGGGGACCUUCGGGCCUCAUGCCAUCAAAUGUGCCCAGAUAGGAUUAGCUGGUAGGUGGGGUAACGGCUCACCUAGGCGACGAUCCCUAACUGGUCUGAGAGGAUGACCAGCCACACUGGAACUGAUACACGGUCCAG
This 274-nucleotide ribosomal RNA is filed under the name Klebsiella sp. P2. RNAcentral's name for it is "partial 16S rRNA". It matches the Rfam family "Bacterial small subunit ribosomal RNA", at positions 62 to 334 of the family's 1533-position model. The record is from RNAcentral. Lineage: Bacteria; Pseudomonadati; Pseudomonadota; Gammaproteobacteria; Enterobacterales; Enterobacteriaceae.